Zea mays is the source of this 1065-nucleotide long non-coding RNA. RefSeq lists it as uncharacterized. The transcript is spliced from 2 exons. The record is from RefSeq and is a predicted model, not a curated record. Lineage: Eukaryota; Viridiplantae; Streptophyta; Magnoliopsida; Poales; Poaceae.
GGGUGAGAUCCUCGCGCAGUAGGCAUCGCUGUAGGAUAAGUGGGCGACCUCCCCCUCUUUCUCCUCUUCUCCUAAUUUCGCUAGUUAGCACCGCGCGGGGAACUGAGAGAAUCAGAGCGCUGGUGACGUCAUCGCUGUCGUGAUUGCGACCUCGUGCCCAGUCAACGGAGUUCGCUGCAGCGCGCAGAACAAGUUUUUAACGGUGUUGGGCGCGAAGUCGGGCACAUCGGGGGUCAAUUCCUCGCUGGCAUUGUAGCAAAGCUCCAUCCGCACGUGGUCGAGUUCGCCUCCACCCAGGGAUCCUCGGAGAAGAACAGGUGGUUCAAGAGGAGCCGCACAAUGAGGAGUUCUAUUUGAUCUAAGUGGCAUCUCCUAGUUGACUUUAUGGCGCCAAGGAUGGACCUUAGUUCGUUCUAUAUUUAUCUCUUACUUUGUAAGACUUACACUAUGUAAUAAGUAAUCUGAUGUUAUUGUGACAUUUAUCUCUAUAAACUCUAUUAUUAUAUAUGUUGUCUUCUUUGGCGCAUGUAUGAGAUGCACCCGGCUUUGUCCCUUAAAUCCGGGUGUGACACGAGAGGACUUCGUGGUCAACUUGUCUUCAGAAUUGGUGGAAAAAGGCCUGUAAGUGGAACAGCUGAGCCAGCGCAUCGCAACUCUAGAGUAGCAGGUGAAAAUCUGGGAUAACACCAUCGAUAUCCUGGAGAUCCAGCUCCAUGAUGUGCAGGAGGAGCUUGAGGAAGCCAACAACCACCUAGAGAUGCACCAACAGGACAUGGAGGCAAACGAGGCAGGAAGCGAGGAAGAGGAGGAUCUCGAGGAAUUAGAGCCAACUCCUGGUCCAAAGCGACUCCCUCCAGAGUGCCCCUUCACCUACUUCCAGCGUUGCCUCUACCACUCAGGGUUGACGGGUUAAUUUGACAUAUUAGGCUUAAGGAUGAACAUGAUUGAUAGGAACCCACGUGAGCUUAGUUUUGGUACCAAAUUCUGGACUAGGCUUAAGGGUGAAUCCCCUAAAUUGUUGUAACCCAGGAAAGACUUUUAUGAGCAAUGAAUGCAAUUAUAUUA